AUGAGUCCUGAAGCAAAGGAUAAAGAUCAUAGCAAGUCCAUAAGUCAGAUGAAAGAACCCAUCUCCGUGGAUGCCUGUCAAAUAAUGCUUGUGAGCCAAGAGGAAUCAUCCUUCAAGUUUCAUGAAGGUGAUGAUGUUUACCAAACUGCAUCAGAUUUUCAAAAGGAGAGGAAAAAGAUAGAUGAAAAGGAGCAAGAAAUGGGUAUAAUAGAUAAUAUGGAGGAGGCUGUGACAAAACAGCAUGAAGAGCUGAAGGAUAAUGAUGAAGAAAAGACAGAGGUCAUGCCACAUGAAAUGGACACCACAAGAGGGAUGAAGAAAAGUCAUAAGAGGAGUACAAGAACAAUCAUGUUCAGGCACCUGGAGAAAGACAGUCAUUCAUUGGCAGUAGAAAAAACUGCCCCAAAUACCACAGAAGAAAUGAAAGCCAGCAGCAAACAACCUAAUGAAACAACUGUGGAAGUGAGUGUUCUUAGAGGAAAUACCAAAAAGAUAAUCACUGAAACACCUAAAUGUAAAUACAGUAAAAUAAAGGUAAAGGCAUUAUGUAAGAAAACAAAUGUAAUAACUGAUAGGGUUGCUGUUGAGGAAGUGAAAAGUAAACAGGAAGAAAAGGCUGAAAAUACAGAACUAAUGACAGUAAAAGAUAGAGUGACCACAAGUAUUGAACAGGACAUUGACGUAGAGAAUAUCAUGGAUGCUGAGGAUGACACCCCAGUUCUGGAAAAAAUCGCCCUGUGUGGGAAAAACAAAACUGCAACAGAUAAAGAUGAAACUUCUAUGGAAAUUGUAGAACAGGAAAGGGGAAUUAAAGGAGCUAAGAUGGAAAAUAUUGAGAAAGUGGCAAAUGAGAAGGCAAAUACACAAGAAAGUAAGACUGAGGAAGAGGAGGAGGUGAAAAAGGAUGAAAUUUUAGUAGUAAAACCAGAUGAAGUAGAAUUAUCAGGUGAAGAAAAGGAUGUUGUGGAAGAAAGCAGAAAAGAGGAUAUAGAAGCCUCAACAGCACAGGCAAAUGUGGCAGAAGAGACUAUAGUUGUAGAGGAAAGAGUUCUCAGGAAGCGGUCAGUAGAAGUAACUAAGAGAAAAGCUAGUCCAAGGAGAACACCUAAACGUAAAUCGAAACAACUCAGCAAACAACCAAUAAAAGAUUACAAAGAUGAUUUUCGAACAACAGAUGGGGGUGAGAGGGAAGAGCCCAAGUCCACAGCCACUGAGGAAGACUUGGAAGCCUUAAAAAAAACCUUGAAUGUGGGUGAGGAAUCAAAUACCCUAGGAAAGAGAGCACUUAGGCCUAGGUCACAAAAACUGAAGUCUAAUCCAAAGGUGACACAUAAAUCAAAAUGUCUCAGUGAAAGCCUAGUACAGGACUUCAAGGGUGAUCUUUCAGUAACUGAUGAGGAGAAGGAAGGGAACAAGACCACAACCACUGAAGAAGAGACAGAAGUUUCAAAAACAAACCUGAAUUUGGAAGAGGAGCCUGCUACUGCAGAAAAAAGAGUUCUCAGGAAAAGGUUGGAAAAAGUAAAGGCAAACGCUACUUCGGAAGUGACACCAAAAUAUAAGUCAAAACUUCUCAAAGAACAACCGAUACAGGAAUACAAUGUUUAUCUCUCAACAAUGGAUGAGGAGGGAAUUGAGGAAGACUGUACAGGAGGAAGAGGAAGUGGACAGGAGAAGAAUGAUGGAUCAUCUGAACAGAGGAAUUUAGAGGGACAAAAGGAGAGUUUAGUAACAAAAGAGAUGAAUAAAGGAGAGAAAAAAGCUGUGGGAGAUAACCAUACUGGAGAGAAGAAAGAAGGCAAAACUUUGGUACAUAAAACUAAUGAGAUAGCUGUAGAUGUAGAUUUGUUUCAAGAGAAGACAGAUAAAGAGAAGGAUGCAAUAGAAGACGAAGAAACGGGGGAAGAGAUGGAAGUCUUAACAACAGACCUGAGCAAGGCAGAGGAAAUGAAUGUUGUAGGAAAGAGAGUUCUUAGGAAGCAGACAGAAAAAAUAAAAGGAAAGGAAAGUCUCAGUGCAACAACCAAAUCCAAAUGUCUCAGCAAGCAAACAACACAAGAGACUAAGUGUAGUUUGCCAGCAUUGGAUCAGGAUGGAGAAGAGAACAUUGCAAGGGGAGAUGGGGAAAAAAUGAAGGAGAGUGCAGAAGAGGAAAGUAUUUUGCAAGAGGAUGUACUAGAAAAUAAUGAGAGAAGUACUAGUGAAAAGAAGUUUCAUAAGGCUGGGGAUGAAGAAAAUAUGGAAAAGGAGGUAGAAGACGAACAGAAUGCAAAGCAGAAAGCAACAGAUGUUGUGGAAAAAGAAGAGCAUUAUGAGAUGGAAAUGCAGGAGACAGACAAAGCAGGAACUAGCAUAAUCACAGUAGAUGAAACCUUAGCAAGAGGGUUGGGUGUAGCAGAGGAGCCUAUGGUUGAAGAAAGGAGGGGAGAAGGUCUUCCAGAACCAAAUGAGGAGGAGGAAGAGGAGAAGGAAGAGGCAAUCAUGAAAAAGGGAGAAAAUAAAAAUAUGGAGGAAAAAAAUGCUGAGAAAAAAGUUGAGGUGAGUAGAGCUAAGAAAGGAGUGAAUAACAAGGGAAAAGCUGGUGAAGAAGGAACAAAACAGGAAGGAAAGAAAGAAGUGGAAAAUGAGUUGGUUGAUAUAGUGGGGGAAGUGGCAUCUGAAAAAAAUGAUUCAGGUGAAGUUCAGGGAGGAGAGCUGGUAAUAAGAAGUGAAGAGGAAACCGAAGCCUCAGAAGACAGCUUGAAUGAGGCAGAAGUGCUAACUAUUGAGGGACAGACAGUUCUGAGAGAAAGCGAGGAAAACAUUACAAAGGCCACUUCCGUAAGCAAAUCAACACAAAGCAAAAAAGGACCAUUAAAGGAAUUCAAGGAUAAUCUACCUGCAGAAGACAAUAUGGAAAACAAAACUAAACAAGUGAAACAGAAAUUAGAAGGAGAAUAUGAAGAAGUUGUGACAAAGGAGAUAAAUUUGGAGGUAGCGAUGAAAGAUAAUAUGGAGAAACCGGGGCAAACUGAAAAGGGAAAGGUGGAAACGUGUUUUUUGGAGGAAAUUAACAAGAAGGGGAGAACAGAAAAAAGGGUGGAUGAGACAGAAAAAGAGGUUGGGGAAAAUCCCAUUGAGGAGGAAGGAGUGAAGGAACAUGUGGGUAGUAUUACUGAUAAAAGGGUUAUUGCGGUGGAUGCAAACAUGGAGGCUGUGCUCGGAAAACACAAGAAUGAAGAUUAUAUUGAGAAAAGGGAAGCAGCAGCAAGCCAGGAAGCAGCAGCUGAGGAGGAAGCCAUAGUUUCAGAGAUGAGUACUAUUGAAGACGAGGACAGUGAGCCUAUACUUUUGGGAAUGAGAGUUCUAAGGGGCAAGGCAAAAAUAUUUCAGAUAACACCUAGGCACAGCUCCAGACAACACAGAAAGCGGGUUUUGAAAAAUGAUGAGGAAGAAGAGAAUAAUGAAGUGGAACAACAAGAAAGCUGUAAGGAAAAGGUCACAACAGCUGAUGAGGAACAUGUAAAGAAGAACUCAGCUGAAGCUAUCAUGUCUCCCGUCUUGAAAAGGAAACUUCCAAACAGGAAAUGCAAAAUAACCCCACCGUAA
This is a long non-coding RNA of Scleropages formosus (Asian bonytongue), 3588 nucleotides long. Lineage: Eukaryota; Metazoa; Chordata; Actinopteri; Osteoglossiformes; Osteoglossidae. The record is from Ensembl.